GAUGAACGCUGGCGGCGUGCCUAAUACAUGCAAGUCGAGCGAACGGACGAGAAGCUUGCUUCUCUGAUGUUAGCGGCGGACGGGUGAGUAACACGUGGAUAACCUACCUAUAAGACUGGGAUAACUUCGGGAAACCGUAGCUAAUACCGGAUAAUAUUUUGAACCGCAUGGUUCAAAAGUGAAAGACGGUCUUGCUGUCACUUAUAGAUGGAUCCGGGCUGCAUUAUCUAGUUGGUAAGGUAACGGCUUACCAAGGCAACGAUGCAUAGCCGAACUGAGAGGGUGAUCGGCCACACUGGAACUGAGACACGGUCCAGACUCCUACGGGAGGCAGCAGUAGGGAAUCUUCCGCAAUGGGCGAAAGCCUGACGGAGCAACGCCGCGUGAGUGAUGAAGGUCUUCGGAUCGUAAAACUCUGUUAUUAGGGAAGAACAGAUGUGUAAGUAACUGUGCACAUCUUGACGGUACCUAAUCAGAAAGCCACGGCUAACUACGUG
Molecule: ribosomal RNA, 497 nt
Filed under: uncultured bacterium
Lineage: Bacteria
Description: partial 16S ribosomal RNA
Rfam family: Bacterial small subunit ribosomal RNA
Source: RNAcentral